AAUCGGAAACAUUUUUUUUAAAUUAAUAACUCAGGAAAGGUGAACAGAAACAUUUCACCAGGUUUUCCUGUGUGUACACGGAAAAUAAAACACUUUAUACUUUGCUUCAAUAAUUUAUCACUUCUUGACAGGGGCUUGAAAAGGGUCCAGUUUGUAAGUACAAAUCACCAAUUUGCUCUUUUAUAAAUGACUUCUUUUAAGGAGAAAAUGGAUGUCCCUCCACGUGGAGGACACAUGUUCUCAUUUGUUUUGUAGAGUAUGUGGGGCAGCCAAGUGAGUGUCCCUUCACUCACUCACAUCAGCCACCUCUAAAAGCAAUUCCAUUGUUAUCUCCCACCAAUCUAGCAUCCUAUUUUUGCUAACUUCUUUCCUGACCUCCCCUUCAGUAUAUGAGUCUUUAUUUUCCCCUUGCCAUCUCUCCAGUUUAAUAGCUCUGUGGUAAAGUAGUGUUUUCAUCCAUGGAACUACUUUUAAUCAAGAUCGACUUUGGGAAAUGCUACCAUUUUUAUGGUAAUAAAGGCUGCAUUAUGCACUUGGACCAGCGCAAGCUGUCUCCCAGGUAUACCUUCAAGUAGUAGAACUGUGAAACAAAGUACAAAUGCCAAAAUUACUUUUUUCUUAACUGUAGUCUCCUAGAGGUCAGUGAAUGAUUUCCAAUUGCAGCAAAGCAAAGACAUUUGUUCUAGGUUGAAGAAUUUUUCACUUGACUAAAUAUGUUCUCCCUGUCUCUGUGCCCCCUCCCCCCCCCUCCUCAAACCCUGGCUGCCACACUUCUCCUGGGCUGUGACAAAACAGAAUGUUUAGUGAGAAACAAAAUUGUGUUUGAUUUUUAGACUAUCUGACUUCACAUUCUGUUUUGGUCUUUGAGCUAUUCCUUGGCUAAUCUUCCAACAAGUUGAAUUGAUUCUUAUUUCAAAACUGUUUAUCCCAAAACAGAGCUGUUGACAAGUACAAAUACAGAUGGCAGACAUGUGGUCUGAUUUUCAUGUUCUCCAUCUCAGCAUUCAGGGAGGGAAUGUUACUGAGAGAUGGUUUACAUCUUGAGCCUCUUGUUUGAGUCAAUAUGUAGUGCAUGCUAGGAGUUUUCUAAUUAUGUGGCAAAUAGUAACAAAUGCUUAAGGGAUUCCUUAAGGCCUGGAAACACAGUAGCAUCCACUUGGUGUGUGAGGCUUGUCACCCCGGAGGCUGUGGUAAUCUACAUCUUAAGCACAGAAGCAACCUCAAGAGGGGAAUGGGCUCUGAUAAGCACACUGACUCUCCGGUGACCUCAGUCCAGUGUUCCAACCUGAGGAUCCAGACUUUUCCUAACUGUGGUCCGACAACGCCUUUUGUUGCACUGAACUUUGUCCUCAAAGCAAAUGACCCUCGAGAGUAUUGGCUCACACUUGUAUUCCAAGGCAGAUUACAGCCCACGCAAUGACCUUGCAAUUCACAGCCAAACUGCUUCAACCCUUGUUUUUCUUCCACAAAAAGAAAUUGUUGAUGAAAGAAAGACAACUGCAAUUCUUCUCUCUUCCAACCUUGUUUCAGGAGGCUUGGUGCUCGGCAGCAUGACGCUGACUGCCCUUAGUGAGGUUGCCCUGAUGGUUGUUGAACUAGACUCCUGAGAGGUGCGGUGUUAGCCAUGACCUACCUCUCUGGAGUCUGAAUAGCCAGCAGCUACUUUAGUUCCAGUAGCUGCUGCCUGUUGGUACAUGGCAGUGCAACCGUGUGAGUGUCGCUGAUGUUGACAGAUCAGUUGACUCACCACUGGAGCCAGUUAUCCAAAGGGGCAGGACUGUAGGAGUGGGCAGCGAUCCACUCCACAUGGGAGAGAACAGUGGAGAUAGCCCUGACCAUUCCUUGCUCGGUUCCUUCCUUUAGAAGGUAGGGGAGGUGGCCAGCAAGUAGGGAUUUGAGGAAGCGGUGGCAGAAAUCAGUUUAGCAUUUAAUGAACAACAGCUGCAGGCAGAUACUGCUGUGCCUCAUGGGGAUAGGAAAGUAAGUAUGACAUUGUUCACAUCCUCCACGUACAAGGAAGCAAUAGAGUUUCCAUUCUAGGUUUACAUAUUUAUGUGGGAAAAUGGUCCUACACUUAAUUGGACCAAAACAGACUUCUUUUUAAAAUCUGAAUACUUCCAAUUUGAUCACCUUAACUGUAUGUUUCUAUCUUAAAAUUCUAGAUAAACUCAGGACUGGAUAAUUUUGAAAUCUAAUUAUUUCCAUCUAUUUAUCUCUUGUUUCUCUGCAGGCCCAUGUGGUUCAGCUCUUAUUUUAACUCUCUUUCCCCCCACCUAGCACAAGCCAGAUUUUCUAUGGUUAAUCUGAACAGUCACAAUGGAUGUUAUUUUAUUUGAAGAUCAGUUUUGAUACAUCUGCAGUAUUGAACCUUCUCCUUUUAUUCUUAAUAAUUUCAGAGUAGAUAUAAAGAUGGACAUAUUCUAGAACUUCAUAAAACCACAAAACCCUGAAACAGUGGGGAUAGACCAGUUUUCAAGGCCUACUUUCCAAAACUGUUAAAAUCCCUAUGAACUCCAUGUAUUCUGGGCUUUAUAAUGGAAUGGAUGCUGAUCAUUGUGGCAAAAUAUUAUACCUAUAAUUGGAUUAAAGGCAAGACCAAUUUGUGAAAAAUUAACAUAAUUUUAGAGAAACAGUUUUAUUACCCUCAAGUGCAUACAGUAUUUCAAACCACUAUUCAGGACUUACAUCAAAUAGAAGCCCUAUUGAAAAAACUGCAAAUUUGUAAUAUGUAUAGUUGAUUAGGUGUUACUGCGACACAGGACAACCUGCCCCACACACCAACUGGUGUUAAAAUAUUCAAAUCUCAGUGGUUUGAAACAACAUAAUUCUCAUUCAUGCUCCAUAUACACAGAAACCUGAUAUUUUCACCUUCUCAGUGCAAGGUUUUGGUAUUGCUGCCACAGUGGGAGCACAUAAAGAAUCACUCCGGGAUCCUUAAGUGCUUUGGCUUAGAAGCGACACCUGUCACUUCCACUUGAAUAUCCAAAGCAAGUUGCAGGACCAGUGUUAACUUUUGAGCUUUUAGGAAAGUACAAUCCUAUGGAUUCAGGAGAAAAAAAAAAAAAGUGUUGGUACACAUUGGUAAUACCUAUCUCAGUGUCUGCUUCUCCAGAGAAACAGGACUGAUGGGAUGGAUAUGGGAAGGGAUGUAUGUUAAGAGACUGUUUCAUGCAACUGUGGAGGCUUGACAAGUCCAGCAUGGGCAAGGUAGGGUUGCAGUUUGGAUCUCUGGCUGUCUGCUAAGAAUUUCCUCUUCCUCCCAGAAAUGCAGUGUUUUCCUAUUAAGGUCUUCAACUGAUUGGAUAUGUCCUACCUGCAAGAUGGAAAGUGAUCUGCUUCACUCACACUCAGAAUCUACUCAUUGAACUGUAUUGUCAUCUAGAAAGUACCCUCACAGCAGCAUCUGGAGUGAUGUUUGACCAAAUAUCUGGGUGCAGUGGCCUAGUCAAGUUGAUAUAAAAUUAACCAUCCUGAUGUGGUACCGUGUCCUUUGCCUUCUAGAUGUUCUUAAUCAUCCUUUAUGAAACAUACAGAGGCAUAAAAAUCUCAAAGCAAUUUUUAUUGCUUAGAAAAAAGAAUCCUUCUUUGUUAAGACUGGGGUCAAGAGACUUGUGUUCCUGGUGUCUUAAUCACUUCAUUAGACCAAAGAAAAAUAGUGACUGAUUUUUUCAUAGUUUGAAAAACUAGGACUGAAUAGAUUUGUUUGGGUCUGAUUUUGUUGUUCCAGGUUAACUUACAAAUUCCCAAUUAUUGUGUUUCUAGAUUUAAAAGAAAAUGCAAAAUUUAAGAACAACCUUUCCAUAGAUCAGGUAAACAUUGUCCCAAGCCAAUCAAAUAUGCCAGCUACCUCUAACUGUGGAGAGAUGAUCACACAACUUUUGGUGUACAUCAGCACCAUGUUCUGUGUAAGAUGGGUCUCAGGGCUGGCGUGUAGCUCAGUGGUAGAGUGCUAUGCCUAGCUUGCAUGAGGCCCUGGGUUCAAUCCCCAGUACCGAUGUGUUUCAAUGGCAGGUUGUACAUCACACCAAAACUUGGCUUUUUGAUACAUUAGGUGUGCGUGGCUUAUGUUUCAGUAAAUGCAUGACCUUCUAUGAGUAUCUUCAUCCUGAGAAAGUGCAUGUGCCACCUGUCUUGUUCAAAGAUGUGCCCUUAGUAGGACCUGAUGUUCUCUUUGCUUUUCUUCCUUUUUCUAAUGGCACCUCUUUGGCCAAGCCUGCCUCAUAGCCCCUUCCUGAGCCUUGGCACUAGCACAGGUGCAGAAGUUUCCCAGGGAUUUCCCCACACAGGUGCAGUAGAGGAGCCACUCGGAGGUCAACCCUACCAACUGACUCAUUAGCCAUCUGAGCGAGUCCUCAUGCUCCCCCAUCAUGGUUACUGAGCAAGGUAGUCCUCUUCCAGAUGAGGAAACCUGAGGCAAAGGGGUUAAGUGACUUGCCCUGGGUCACUUGGGAAGUUCCUGCAACUAGAACAAUCACUUUCUGCUAUUCGGUCAAGUGCUUAAGUGCUGGCCUCCCUGAUUCCUUCUUCUAGCAUGCAUUUAAUCAAUAAAUCAAUUUCCUCUCCUCCUGUUCAUCCUAGUAGUGCAAGGAAGAAGGUCGCAUGAUGUGUGCAUAGACUGCUGUCCUCCACGUUCCAAGAUGAUGUUGGUGACAGUGAUUUGUUAUCACUCUGCUCCAGUGUGACAGGAAAGAUCAAUAAGCAGCCAAUAGCCCUUUCCAUGAUGGCCAAAGUACAAAACUGCCCCUGGACUCAGGUCUGCAGGCACUGUGUGCAAAGACUCGCAUUUUUUUGAGAUGAUUAUCUCUAAGAAUUUGUUUGUCCCCCCCCCCCGAGUCCCCUGAAUCCUAACUACUACUCAGCAGGCCAUUUCCCCGCAGUACCAGGCCAGUCCUCAUGUCAGAAGCUAUGCAUCUUCAGGCCCAGGAAGUGCAUGAGAGAAAUGAAGGCAGGCUGUGUGUGAAUCGGAGUCCCCUUAUCCCCGGCCCAACUCCGUCCGGCUCAAUCCGUGUUGCAGUCUCAUUUGUCAGAUGUUUAAUAACAACUGAAGUAAGUAGGUGCCUC
This 5061-nucleotide transfer RNA is filed under the name Marmota monax (woodchuck). The stretch from base 3929 to 3992 matches the Rfam family "tRNA", at positions 5 to 66 of the family's 71-position model. The record is from RNAcentral. Lineage: Eukaryota; Metazoa; Chordata; Mammalia; Rodentia; Sciuridae.